Molecule: long non-coding RNA, 767 nt
Filed under: Manacus vitellinus (golden-collared manakin)
Lineage: Eukaryota; Metazoa; Chordata; Aves; Passeriformes; Pipridae
Description: lncRNA (ENSMVIG00005007598.1)
Source: RNAcentral
AAAGCGUGAGCAGCAGCAUUUGGUUAAGAAGCAAGCUGAAAGUAUGGAGGGCAUUGAUAACCCGUGGGCCAUGGACAAAAAUGGAAGUCUGAAAAGCUUAGAGAAACUAGAGCACAUGAAUAACGGGAGAAGCGAGGUAUUAUCAUUUGACAACAUAUACAGCACCAGAGGAGGUGAGGCUGACAAAGAUGAAAUGCAGGCCCCUGAAAAAGGCAAUUACCUUGAGACAAUACUGGCAGAUUACAAUAGUGAACAUGAGUAUGAAAAAGCUGCUGAACUUGGAAACACGGAGGCCCAGCCCGCUGUGGCAUUCAUAACAAAACAGGACUCCUUUCUGACAGACACAGCCCAGAAAUCCGCUCCUCCCAUACCACCUCAGCCCCCGUCAGCUGCCCCUGGAAAAGAACUGAAAGGAGUAAAAUUCUCAGAAGUGGCAGUGAUUUUGGACGCAGAUGACGAGCCCGAAGAUUACGAGCCCGAAGAUGAUGAGCCUGAAGGCGAUGAGGCUGGCUAUGACAUCUCUUUAUAAUAAGGACACUUGAUGACGAAAAGCACGAUGACAGGACAGAAUUUAAUGAGCAACAAUAUGGGGACGCUAUCCAGAUUUUAAUUCUGCUACUGCUGUUAUAAGAGAACAAGCAAUUUGCCGAAGGUGCUGCUCUGCAGGGCUGCUCCCCCAGCACCGGCGCUGUCUCGCUGUGUAUUUAAUUUCCUCUGCCGCGUGUCGAAUAGCCAAGACAAUAAACCCGAUUCCCAAGUACUUCUCA